RNAcentral lists this ribosomal RNA (450 nucleotides) under uncultured bacterium. RNAcentral's name for it is "bacterial SSU rRNA". It matches the Rfam family "Bacterial small subunit ribosomal RNA", at positions 64 to 507 of the family's 1533-position model. The record is from RNAcentral.
GAACGGCAGCGCGGGGGGUAACCCCUGGCGGCGAGUGGCGAACGGGUGAGUAAUACAUCGGAACGUAUCCUGUAGCGGGGGAUAACCUCUCGAAAGAGAGGCUAAUACCGCAUACGACCUACGGGUGAAAGAGGGGGAUCGCAAGACCUCUCACUAUUGGAGCGGCCGAUGUCGGAUUAGCUAGUUGGCGGGGUAAAAGCCCACCAAGGCUACGAUCCGUAGCUGGUCUGAGAGGACGACCAGCCACACUGGAACUGAGACACGGUCCAGACUCCUACGGGAGGCAGCAGUGGGGAAUUUUGGACAAUGGGCGCAAGCCUGAUCCAGCCAUGCCGCGUGGGUGAAGAAGGCCUUCGGGUUGUAAAGCCCUUUCGGCUGGGACGAAAAGAUUCGGGUUAAUAACCCGGAUCCAUGACGGUACCAGCAGAAGAAGCACCGGCUAACUACGUG